This 90-nucleotide transfer RNA is filed under the name Pseudobdellovibrionaceae bacterium. Its description in RNAcentral is "Bdellovibrionaceae bacterium tRNA-Ser". It matches the Rfam family "tRNA". Rfam says of the family: Transfer RNA (tRNA) molecules are approximately 80 nucleotides in length. Lineage: Bacteria; Pseudomonadati; Bdellovibrionota; Bdellovibrionia; Bdellovibrionales; Pseudobdellovibrionaceae. The record is from RNAcentral.
GGAGAGGUGGCCGAGUGGCUGAAGGCGCACGCUUGGAAAGCGUGUAUACAGGCAACUGUAUCGAGGGUUCGAAUCCCUCUCUCUCCGCCA